CCCCAUUUUUAUUUCCCUCUGGUUUUUCUCUGCUUUUUUCUCCGUUCCGCUUUAGCUCUCAUCAUCAGUUCACUAACAAUAAUCAUAAUAGUCAUGAUAAACCCUAAAAAUCUCCACUCAAAUCUUCCUUAGAACUUCACUUCUUCUCCAGCCUUUAUUAGUAUUAUUAUUUUUAUAAAUUUAAAAAGAGAAUUCUUCAUUUUUUUCAUUUUAUUUUUCUGUAAAUAUCUUUACAUUUCAGUUUCAAUCGAGAAUAUUCUCUUUUAUAAUCCUUAAAGUUACUGUUUAUGUAACUCUUCUCAACUUAUACAGUAAAUUUUUGCAAAGUUUUUUUCCUUCUGUAUUUCUUAAAUCGUCAAUUGGAUCUCUGAGUUUGUUGAAAUAAAAAAUUUGAUUUUCUUUGUUUUGCCGUGUUUUCAAGAGUUGGCAACUUUGGUUGUAAGGUAGGAUAUGAUACUGUCAGAUGCUAGCAUUUGAUGUUGGUGAAUUAUGUGACCGUCGGUGGAGAGUGUGAGGCUCUGCGCUGAGCAAAUAGAUGCAGGCAGUUGGCUUUUAGUAGUAAUGAAGAACAUACAGAGCACACAAGAUAAAAAACCCUCAACUCAAGCUUCACAUGAACCAAAAACAGAACCACAAAACAGUCAAAUAGCAGAUGGUCCCUUAGCAGAUUCUGGCUCUUUAUCUACUUCAAGCAAUGAUGGCAAAAAAGUUUCACGCCAAGAUAUAGAACUUGUCCAGAAUUUAAUUGAACGAUGUUUACAACUCUAUAUGAACAGAGAUGAGGUUGUCAAAACCCUCUUGACUCGAGCGAGGAUAGACCCUGGAUUCACAACUUUAGUAUGGCAGAAGCUGGAAGAGGAAAAUGCUGACUUUUUCAGGGCUUAUUAUAUAAGGCUGAAGUUAAAGAAGCAAAUCCUUUUAUUCAACCAUUUGCUUGAGCAUCAAUAUCACAUGAUGAAAUAUCCUGUGCCUCCAAAGGUUCCUAUGGCUCCAAUACAAAAUGGGAUCCAUCCCAUGCCCGUUAACAAUUUACCAAUGGGAUACCCUGUGCUGCAACAACCUCAAUUUCCAGCUGCAGGGCAACCUCAUAUGGACUCCAUGGGUAUAUCAAGCUGUCAUGUUGUCAACGGAGUCCCUGCUACCAGCAACUUUCAACCUAUGCGGAUGAAUUCUGGGAAUGACAUGGUGAUGGACAGCAAUGCCAGUGAUGUAAUACCUUCAGUUCCACCAACCACUGCCAUGUCAUCCAUGUCAGAGAUGCCUUUGAGCUGUACAUCAGUGGCAUCCAGUGGGAGUUUUCCCUUCAGUGCAUCAGAUAUGUCAGGGAUGGGGGUAGACACAUCGGCACUUGAUUCAGCCUUCACAACAGAUGUGGCAAGUUCAGUAGGAUUGCAGCUGGGACAGGAUAAUGAAACUGGGAAUUCUAGAGAUUCCUUUAGACCACUUGAUCAGAUUCAGUGGAAUUUCAGUCUCACAGAUCUGACUGCAGACUUGUCAAACUUGGGAGAUCUAGGUGCCCUUGGGAAUUACCCUGGUUCUCCUUUUCUUCCCUCUGAUUCAGAAAUUUUGCUUGAUUCUUCGGAGCAAGAGAAUAUAGUGGAGGAAUUUUUUGUUGAUUCUGUCCCCGAACAGCCGUGCUCUCCGUCUGAUGAAGAUAAAUCCUAGAUAAAGUAAUAGGGAUUGCAGUAGAGUAGAGUAGAGAAGAGAAGAGAAUGUCGUUCAUGCAACUAAAAAAACCAACACCGGCGACAGAAAAUUGAUGGGUUGAUUGAAAGGGUUUUAAUCGGUUACCGUAUGCAGAAGGGAGGAGACAUUAAUGAACGAGCAAUAUUCCCCUUAUUGGUGGCCUCAAUCACUAUUUCCUCACUUGUCUUGAACACCUGUAUUACGUAUUGAAUAAUCAUCAACAAUCGGUCCUUAAACAAAUUAAGGGCGGCAGCAGCCAAAAAGCAAGGGUGUUCCAACAUGAUUAAUUACGGGCGAUCAAGGCGGCACUAAGAUACCGCUUGUGUGACAAGUUUGUUCAGAGAAUGGAAAACAUUGAGCCAUUUUUAUAAAUGUUUUUAAAACCACAACACUAUCAAACCUUGCUGGUUCAUAAAACCAAGCAAAUAUUGACAUGUACUGUCACCAUUCAGUUCAAUCCUCUAAAUAAUAAUAUGGUAAAUUUAUUGUUGGUUACAUCUUCUCUGAUUGUGUG
Molecule: RNA transcript, 2200 nt
Organism: Gossypium arboreum
Lineage: Eukaryota; Viridiplantae; Streptophyta; Magnoliopsida; Malvales; Malvaceae
Exons: 11
Source: RefSeq, a predicted model, not a curated record